AUGCCUUGGCACUGGGAGCCGAUGAAAGACGUGAUAAGCUGCGAUAAGCUUCGGGGAGCUGCAAAUAAGCAUUGAUCCGGAGAUUUCUGAAUGAGGAAACUCACCUGGGUUCAUACUCAGGUACGUUAUACUGAACUUAAAAAUAGGUAUAUCGAGGGAACCGCCUGAACUGAAACAUCUAAGUAGGGCGAGGAAGAGACAUCAAACGAGAUUCCGUAAGUAGUGGCGAGCGAACGCGGAAGAGGGCAAACCGGGAGUAGAAAUACUUCCGGGGUACGGACCGCAUUUAGGACUUAAGUUGUUAACCGAACGGCAUGGGAAGGCCGGUCAGAGAGUGUGAGAACCACGUAGGUGAAAACGACAAGAGCUGAGCGAGUUCCAGAGUACGGCCAGACACGUGAAACCUGGUCGGAAUACGGGGGGACCACCCUCCAACCCUAAAUACUACCCAGUGACCGAUAGCGUAUAGUACUGUGAAGGAAAGGUGAAAAGCACCCCGGGAGGGGAGUGAAAAAGAACCUGAAACCCUGUGCCUACAAGCACCUAGAGCACGUCAAUGUGUGAUAGGGUACUUUUUGUAGAACGGUCCGGCGAGCGAUUGUAUGCAGCAAGGUUAAGGACUUAAGGUCUGGAGCCGAAGCGAAAGCGAGUUUGAAAAGGGCGUUAAGUUGCAUAUAAUGGGCCCGAAACCGGGUGACCUACCCAUGGUCAGGUUGAAGUGGAAGUAAAAUUCCAUGGAGGACCGAACCGACCUCCGUUGAAAAGGCGGCGGAUGAACUGUGGGUAGCGGAGAAAUUCCAAUCGAACCCGGAGAUAGCUGGUUCUCCCCGAAAUAGUUUUAGGACUAGCCUCAAGUUAGAUACCUGGAGGUAAAGCACUGAAUAGCCUAGCGGCCGAGAGGUUAGCGAAGCUUAUCAAACUCAGAAUGCCAGAGUAUUGAUGCUUGGGAGUCAGACAGUGUCAGAUAAAUGUCAUUGUCAAAAGGGAAACAGCCCAGAUCUACAGCUAAGGUCCCAAAGUCAGGUUAAGUGGAAAACGAUGUGAAGAUACGUAGACAACCAGGAUGUUGGCUCAGAAGCAGCCACACAUUCAAAGAGUGCGUAAUAGCUCACUGGUCGAGCGUCUUUGCGCGGAGAAUUUAACGGGGCUAAACCUGACACCGAAGCUUAGGCAAUACAGCAAUGUAUUGGGUAGGGGAGCGUUGUAUACGCGGUGAAACAGUAGCGCAAGCGGCUGUGGAGUGUAUAGAAGUGAGAAUGCCGGAAUGAGUAGCGCGAAUGCAGUGAGAAUCUGCAUGGCCGAAAGCCUCAGGUUUCUGGAGGAAGGUUCGUCCGCUCCAGGUUAGUCGGGAGCUAAGGUGAGGCCUAACGGCGUAGCCGAUGCACAGACGGUAGAGAUUCCGUCACCACCAAAAGAGUUAAACACAGGGACACAUUUGAAGUCUCGGAGCCGGGUGUUGGUUCCGGUAGCGAUCGAGGGAAGUUAGUACCGAAGUCCGGGAUGGAAGAUGGCGAGAAAAGCUGUGUGUAUUUCUGCGGUGCCCGUACCGCAAACCGACACAGGUAGGUAGGAAGAAGAUUCUAAGGCCAACGGGAGAAGGGUUGUUAAGGAACUCGGCAAAUUGACCCCGUAACUUCGGGAGAAGGGGUGCUCCAGAGAUGGAGCCGCAGAGAAUCGGCCCAAGCAACUGUUUACCAAAAACACAGGUUUGUGCUAAAUCGAAAGAUGACGUAUACGAGCUGACGCCUGCCCGGUGCUGGAAGGUUAAGAGGAGAUGUGCAAGCAUUGAAUCGAAGCCCCAGUGAACGGCGGCCGUAACUAUAACGGUCCUAAGGUAGCGAAAUUCCUUGUCAGGUAAGUUCUGACCCGCAUGAAAGGCGUAAUGAUUUGGGCACUGUCUCGACAGCCCGCCCGGCGAAAUUGUAGUACCGGUGAAGAUGCCGGUUACCCGCGACAAGACGGAAAGACCCCAUGGAGCUUUACUGUAGCCUAAUAUUGGGUUUCGAUGUUGCAUGCACAGGAUAGAUGGGACACAGGGAAACAAGUGCUUUGGCAUUUGUGGAGUGGCCGUUGGGAUACCAUCCUUGCGAUAUUGGAAUUCUAACCUGCGCCUUUGAAUCAAGGCGGGGGACAUUGUUAGGUGGGCAGUUUGACUGGGGCGGUCGCCUCCUAAAGAGUAACGGAGGCGUUCAAAGGUUCGCUCAGCUUGAACGGAAAUCAAGCAAAAGAGUGCAAACGCAGAAGCGAGCCUAACUGCGAGACUGACGGGUCGAGCAGUAACGAAAGUUGGAGUUAGUGAUCCGGUGGUAUGUGAGUGGAAAUGCCAUCGCUCAACGGAUAAAAGUUACCCUGGGGAUAACAGGCUGAUCUCCCCCAAGAGUCCACAUCGACGGGGAGGUUUGGCACCUCGAUGUCGGCUCAUCGCAUCCUGGGGCUGUAUUCGGUCCCAAGGGUUUGGCUGUUCGCCAAUUAAAGCGGUACGCGAGCUGGGUUCAGAACGUCGUGAGACAGUUCGGUCCCUAUCUGUCGUGGGCGCAGGAUAUUUGAUGGGAGCUGUUCCUAGUACGAGAGGACCGGAGCGGACGUACCUCUGGCGCACCAGUUGUUCUGCCAAGGGCAUAGCUGGGCAACUAUGUACGGAUCGGAUAAACGCUGAAAGCAUCUAAGCGUGAAGCCGACCCAAAGAUAAGAUAUCCCAUUGUUUCAAACAAGUAAGACCCCUUGAAGACUACAAGGUUGAUAGGCACGAUGUGUAAGUGGAGUGAUCCAUUCAGCAAGCGUGUACUAAUAGGUCGAGGGCUUGACCACAA
This 2810-nucleotide ribosomal RNA is filed under the name Faecalibacterium prausnitzii. Its description in RNAcentral is "partial 23S ribosomal RNA". It matches the Rfam family "Bacterial large subunit ribosomal RNA". Lineage: Bacteria; Bacillati; Bacillota; Clostridia; Eubacteriales; Oscillospiraceae. The record is from RNAcentral.